RNAcentral lists this long non-coding RNA (748 nucleotides) under Callithrix jacchus (white-tufted-ear marmoset). Its description in RNAcentral is "lncRNA (ENSCJAG00000075696.1)". The record is from RNAcentral. Lineage: Eukaryota; Metazoa; Chordata; Mammalia; Primates; Cebidae.
GGCUUUUUCAACAUCAAGCUGGGACUGAGGCACAGCUUGCCCCCUAGAGGCAAGGAGGGGAAUUGUGGGGAAGAGCCAGGUGAGCCGAAAGGCAGAGGGGAAAAUCCACACACACAGAUGAGGACUAAGAAGUGGAUAAUGGAGCUCUGAGCACUCCAGUCAAGACCACGGCAAAUUUGGGAAGAGAAGACCUCUAAGAAAUUGCCUGGCAUGAUUGUUAAUAACGACAUAGUCCCUGAGAGAUUAAGAAAUCAGCUAGCAUUCCAAGGAACCCUGAGUUGUCUGCGUGGCUUUCUGUGUGAUGCCCGUGUUUGUGUCUCUUCCUGCUUCCUUGAAGAUGUGCACCUCCCUCAAUUGAUGGAGCCUUCUGCCUUUUAACCUCUUUAAAUAUCUCCUUUUCAUUUUGCAUUAUAGAAAGAUUUGAACAUAUACAUAAAUAGAAAAACUAGUAUAAUGAAGCCAGUGUACUUGACUUCAACAAAGAUCAUUAUUACAUGGAUAAUAUUCCAUUAUCUGUAUUCCCACCUAUCCCCAGCACCUGCAUUAUUUUGAAGUAAAUCUAAAAUGUCGUCUCAUUUCUUCUGUAAAUAUUUCUUAAGCAUUUCUAGCGAAUGAGGACUCUUUUAAAAAGCAUAACAGCAAUAUUAUCACACCUAGGUCAAUAGUGAUUCUUUAAUUAAGUAUCCAUUUGUUGCUCACAUUUUACUUUUUAAUUGUUUUAAUAUUUGAAUUGGUAUCCAACAAGGUC